RNAcentral lists this ribosomal RNA (380 nucleotides) under uncultured eukaryote. RNAcentral's name for it is "partial 18S ribosomal RNA". It matches the Rfam family "Eukaryotic small subunit ribosomal RNA", at positions 592 to 976 of the family's 1831-position model. The record is from RNAcentral.
CAAUAGCGUAUAUUAAAGUUGUUGCGGUUAAAAAGCUCGUAGUUGGAUUUCUGUUGAGAACGUCCGGUCCGCACUAUGUGCGUGUAUCUGGUUCGGUCUUGGCAUCCUCUUGAGGAACGUAUCUGCGCUUGAUUGCGUGGAGCGGUAUUCAAGACUUUUACUUUGAGGAAAUUAGAGUGUUCACGGCAGGCAAGCGCCUUGAAUACGUUAGCAUGGAAUAAUAAUAUAGGAUCUUGGUUCUAUUUUGUUGGUUUCUAGGGCUAAGGUAAUGAUUAAUAGGGAUAAUUGGGGGCAUUUGUAUUAACGCGUCAGAGGUGGAAUUCUUGGAUUGCGUUACGACAAACUACUGCGAAAGCAUUUGCCAAGGAUGUUUUCAUUAA